CCUGAAAUUGACUAGAGAAGAGAGACAAUGAUGAUUGUUUAGUGGUGGAGGGAGAUUUCGCCGCGAUUAUUGGUGGUGGAGGGAGAUCGGCGUGGAGGAAUUUGAUUUCGUUGAGAAGAAGAAGACGAGUGAGGAAUAGAAAGAGAAUUGCUAUAACAAGAAAUAAAAAAUAAAAAGAAGCCAGGGUAUAAAGAGAAAAGUGAGACACACGUGAGGUAAAGUAUAAAUUGGGUGUAUAAAUGAACAGUGAUGUAACAUGUUGUAUAUUUGUUUGGUCCUUGUGUCUAGAUAACAUUUCUGU
RNAcentral lists this long non-coding RNA (301 nucleotides) under Trifolium pratense (red clover). RNAcentral describes it as "long non-coding RNA (TPRA_LNC012469)". The record is from RNAcentral. Lineage: Eukaryota; Viridiplantae; Streptophyta; Magnoliopsida; Fabales; Fabaceae.